Molecule: unclassified non-coding RNA, 2991 nt
Filed under: Hevea brasiliensis (rubber tree)
Lineage: Eukaryota; Viridiplantae; Streptophyta; Magnoliopsida; Malpighiales; Euphorbiaceae
Source: RNAcentral
AAGAUGGCCCCUGCUCUUCGCAAGUAAGCCUCAUGAUUCUCUCCUAGAUUUUGGGUUCUUUGGUUUUUACUACAUGCUGUUUUAGUUUGUUAUUGUUUUUGGCUUUCUCUGAGGUUUUAGGGUUCUGUGACUGAUUUAGGUGGUCUCGGAUCUCUUAAGGAAUUCUAAUAUAUUCUUGUGCAUUCUGAUUAUUUUGGUAAUUGGGCUAAUGUUAAGUAUUUGAUUCAAUAACCUUCUUUUGCCUAAUUUUGGUAAUGUCUAAAAUUCAAAUGGUUCUAGAGGCAGAAAUUUGUUGGAACAUUUUUUGUGUUUUGAUUGCAUUUUAUAUAAAUUGUUGAUACAAUAUUACUUGCAAGUACCUUGGUUGUUGCUGCUUGUAAAUUUUUUCCCUAAUUAGAUGGAGGAAAGGAACGAGCGGUGAAAAUGGGGGUGUUACAGGAAGUGGAUGUUCCAUGGGUACUAGUUCUUACUUCUUUCUUUAUGGGUAACAGAAAAGCAAGAAUAAUAAUACACUAGUUUGAACACUAUUUACUGAUUUAGUGUUGAAGUCCAUUUUAAAAUUUUUAAUCUGAUACUAGUUGAGGCUUAAAUGAGCAAAGAUGAAAUUAAUUAAUUGUAAUAAGUGCACAAGUGAGAAUCAAUUCCCUCACAGAAUUGUAUUCUACAUUGGUUAGCUUGUUUUGAUUCCUGCCUAGUUUGAAUGAUGCAGCAAAAAGUGCUUUUAUUUGGUAUCAAGGGUAAAAAAUUUGGAUAUUUGAGUUUAAGAGUUGGUUGUGCUAAAACUGUGCUAAGCUGUGCUUGAGUUUAGCUAACCAGAUACUUCUGGCCUGAUUAUGCUGUGCCCAAGCUCACUCCAAGCUUAGGGAGUUUUCCAAUAUGCCUAAUUGAACGUUGGCCUCUUAAUUUGAAAUUACUAUAAAUGUAAAAUAGUGUUAUUGGAUUUGAAGUUGUGUGAUUGUGGAAUUGAUUAACCCAAGGUUCAUAAGGGUUUUGUGUCUUCCAUAGUCAUAUAGCCUGUAACAUAUGGUUCAAUUUAACUUCUUUAGCACAGUGCAUUGAAAUCAUCUGGAGCUACUUAAAAAGCUUGAAUUGAAUUUUGGUUAUGACUAAACGCAGAUUAAUUUGACUGAUACAUAGCUUUUUUUUUUUUGGAGAGUUUUUAAAGCAGCACAAAUGAAAAUUUACCAAGGUUAGGACUGGGUUUGUUUGGGGGGCGAAGAGGGUAAGGGUUAGGCUGGAGUAGUAUUCAAAGAAACAUGUAUCCAUUCGUUUGCUGUCAUAUGCAUUAUUUUUAUAUUUUGGAAAUUUGCAGACAUUCCAAAUAUUAAAUGCUGGUAAAUCCACUUUUGGUCUGCAAUAUUCUCCAUAACAAAUGCCAAUUUAUAAGCAUUUUGGGUUGUUACUGAUGUUCAUAUUGUUUUUUCUGGUAUAAACUGUUCGAUUUUUUCAUUUUUAUGUUUUGGCGAUUGGAAACAGCUCUAAAAAAUAGAGCUGAAACAAACUGCAGUCUGCAGCUUAUCAUAUCAGUUACCCAUCAGCUAUCAACCUUAUUUUUUUAAACUUACCAAAUACUCUAAUCUAAUUUACCUGUUUGGUUGUCUAUCAGCUAUCAGCUGCACCGAACAGGUAAACCAAACACCCCCUAUUAAACUCGAGCACUAUGUCAUUGAAAAAAAGAAAAAAAACCAUUAAUUAGGCUUAUUAACUUGGAGCAUUUUGUUUGUUUGGGAGAGGUUUUAUUAAAAUAAUGGAAGGUUUUCAACUUGUGUUUGGAAAAACAGAAGGUUUUUAAAAUAAGGAAACCUCCAAAAACCUCCAUCCUCUGAGUUCUUCUCUUUAACACCUUAACCCUUUAUUUGGAUUGAGGAAAAUGCAAAGAAAAUAAUAGAAAAGAUUUCUCUUAAAUUCCCUUAAGAAUUGAAGAAAGAGGAAGAGAAUGGAGGAAGGAGGGAAAUAAUUGUUAAAAUACUUAAAUAUUAUCAUACAGAAAAAAUAGAAAGAAAUUAAGGGUAUAAUAAUUAUUUCACUCUAUUGUUUUAAGUUAUCCCAUUGUAACCAUCCUCCAUUUCCUUUCUUUAAUUUCUUUCCUUUCUACUGCCAAAUUAAAGAUCUAAACAAAAGGUAAAACUUCCAAAUGCCUUAUAAAACUUCAUCUUCCUUCCAAACACACAAAAUUAAAAAGGUUAAAAAAAAUGAAAACUUUACUUUAAAAAACUUUUCUUUAGAAAUUAUAAAAGGAAAACUGAACUCAAACCUGCUUGUUUAUCAGAAGCAUCAAGAUACUCCUGCUCCUCCGCCUCCACCACAGGCGGCAGCAUCUCCCCCUCCUUCUCUCCUUUCUUAACACCGCCACCUGGCCCCUCAGCAGCAACACCGUCCUUCUCAUCAGGGAACCUCACAACAAUCACAGGACAAACACAGUGAUGCACGCAGUAAUCACUCACACUGCCUAGCCCCCCUUUGGUAUUCUUCCUGGAAGCCCCAAAUCCUCUGCUACCCAUGAUAACUGCGCAAAGCCUCAACCUUUCCACCUCCAAGCAAAGUCUCUCCUUCAUAUCAUGAUCCUUCACUAUAUGAAUCUUGAACGGAAUCUGCGCCUCAACGAGCGGUUGGGCCAGAUCGUUGGCCUUAGUGGAGGUGAAAAGAUCGAAAUCGUCCUCGAGCUUUUUCUGGGACUGUUCCGUUUGGUUCUCAGAAUCAUGUUCAGUAAUGGAUAGCUCAAUUGCGCCCCAAUCGGCACCGUAUAGUACACUUGUAGGCCGGACAUGAACAAGGAUAACGGCAUCGCCCUGGCGGAGGUAGUUUUGGACAGCCCAAUUGACGGCGUAAGCGCUCUCAUCGCUGAGAUCGACGGCGAUGCCGAUUCUCCGCUGGGCACCAGAUGUCCGGGUACUAACAGGGAAUCGUGGAGACGAUGGUUGGACUACCACUGCUUCAGCUGCUGGGCUUUCCUUCUUUGGGGAAGGCGAAGUCAUGGCUUCAAGUAAAUUA